Non-coding RNA from Podarcis lilfordi (Lilford's wall lizard), 69 nucleotides. Lineage: Eukaryota; Metazoa; Chordata; Lepidosauria; Squamata; Lacertidae. The record is from the annotation of a GenBank genome assembly.
GGAUAGCUCAGUCAGUAGAGCAUAAGACUCUUUAUCUCAGCUUUGUGGGUUCAAGCCCCACGUUGGACA